RNAcentral lists this long non-coding RNA (8622 nucleotides) under Homo sapiens (human). RNAcentral describes it as "non-protein coding LINC01481:2". The record is from RNAcentral. Lineage: Eukaryota; Metazoa; Chordata; Mammalia; Primates; Hominidae.
CCUUCCUGGUGCGGUGGCAGAGGCGGCAUCGCAGUUGCAUUCCUUCUCCCUCCACCAUGCACAGCCUUCGGUAUCCCAGGGCCUGCAGGAUCCUGACACCCGUUAGCCAGUCCAGUGUCUCCCAUCUGACACUUGCAAACACACUAACAGAAAUACACAUAACUGGCAGAUGAUAUACGUGUAUUGAGAGAAGGUAAGAAGCCACAGACAGCACCAGCUGCCGGGAAGGCGGCAGAGCCGUCUAAAGCGGGCUCGAGCUCGUCGGCCACGGCCACGGCCGCUGCCGCCUUCUCUUCUCCCCCAGGAAGCAGCGCGGCGGCAGCGGCUCCUCCGCGCUGGCGGGAGCCUAGGGGAGUGGAGUCUGGGGAAGCCCCACCACUCGCGGAUGGGACCGGGCCUAGGAUCUGGAGCUGCUGCUGCUGCAGCGGCCCGAGUACAGCGACGCUUUACGUCCGGUCCACCACCACCCCCAUACACACCCCCUCCCUCCCUCCACCGCCGCCACCCCCCUCCCCGCCCGCUCCGCUCUCCGUCUCUCGAUUGGAGCCGAGACAAAAGCAACGGGAAGCGGUGGGCCGGGACGCUACCGGCGGACCCUGGGCGCGACCGGACCGGCCCCGGGGCAUUCCCCCGCCUUGCGGGGGCCCCGAAUCUGCCGCCCCCGCCGCGCGCCCCGCUGCCAGACUUCCGAAAAUUUACCAAAAACUCACCGCAUGAAUUUUCUUGUCCCGCGGAUCCAAGAUGGCGACGUAUCCACCGCGGAGGCUGCUGGGAGCAAGACCUUUACCCUCUGACCGCCGCCGUGACCCCCGUCGCUCCGGCUUCCCUCCAGGCGGCAGCGGAAGCUCCCGCAACCUCCGGAGCUUGUGCGCGUACUUCAGGGACCGGCACCACGUCACCGUCACCUCCUGAGUAGUGAGUUCCCCUCUGAUGAAACCACUGGUGUGUUUACUCACCAUCCCCACCAUUUUUUUUUCCCCAACCUGAUGGAAGGAAGUACAUAAUGGAGAGCAAGUUUUUAAAGCACGGUCGUGUCGUGUGAACUUGCUCUAGCCAAAUUAGGUUUAUAGCACUUUUUUUGGCUCUCAUUACCUCCAGUCCCCACAUAAACAAGAGUGACCAGCUGGGUCAUCCGCAAGACCGUUUGAAAUUAUUGUGGCUUGGGUGGAAACUUAAAGGAGUGAAGUAUCUGCUUUCCAGAAAAAUCGUUGUCAUUCAAAGUGAAAUUAAACUUGUUUUCUUUGCAAUAAUUCGCCUUUAUUUCCUUGUAUAUCUGUAAACUCUUCACUUUUUUGUAAUUACUAGACAAUUCGGACUUAAAAAGAGCCUCAGCAUGUGUAUUUUGGAAUUGUGUAGCUUCAUAAUGUGAAAAUUAUUCUUUUCUAUUUGAGUAAAGUACAGUUAAUUUGAAGUAAAUAAAAUUUCUAUUUCCAUUGGUUGUUUCUUUUAAAAAGUCACCUUUUACUUACAAAAGAAUCACUGUAAUCCAGUUUACAUUUAUCAUUGAAGGUCAAAAGCAAGAAAUAGGAAGAAACACAAGCAUACUAUAAAAUAAAAGGUAACUGUCAUGUUUUUGAAGGUAAGGUGUUUUGACAUAUCAGCAGACAUUGUGUGAAUUUAUUUCAACUCCUAGUGGUACUGGUGUAGGUAGAAAAUGUUUUGCUUGGUUAUUCAUUUCAUCAAACACUCUACUUCACUGUUUUUUUUUCACUUCAGGAAAAUUCGAGGAGGAACAACACAUACUAGUGUCUUUCCUUUCUUUCUCCCCGUCUUCUGCAAAUAGUCCCUUCCUCUUCCUGCUUUCUCCUCCUUCUCAUGUUAACAUCUUCAACCAUAAGAUGGUGUGUUAAAAGAUUGAAUAUACCUCUAUGGAAUGACUUCCAGAGGGUGUAAGUCUGAUAUGAGAGUUUUAUUACCUUGAGUAUUUUACUGGAAGAGAUAGAACAACAAACAUUUUCAUAAUAAAUGUGUGGGUUAGGAGUGUUAGGAGAAAAUACACUGAUACUAUUACUUUCAAUAUUUGAUACUACUUACUUUGACUCUCACUGAACACCUAUUUGUUUAGGAUGAAUUCACUUUAAGCCGGGUUGAAGAACAAGCCUUUAAUUGUCCUAUUAUUUGUGCCAAAUCUAUUAUAAAUUUGUUAAAAAAUUUUUAAUACCUACCUUAGAGGGUACUCUAGGUAUUUAAUGAGCUAGCAUUUGUUAAAGGCUUGUAUAGUAAGAAUUCUUAUAGUAAGAGUUCUUACCAAUAGAUGGUAUAUUUUUUAAAUUGUCCUGUUGCAUCAAAAAGUUCAUCUUUAUUGGUAAUGUUGAUUAAGUUUGCCCAUUUGGUAGUUUGGUUUCUUUUAACUAUCUUACUAGAUUUUCUUACUUUUACCUGAAAAGUAGUCCUUACUAAUAGGCACAUGUUUUGUAUAUUUCCAAAAUAUGUAUUAUGUUAAAUUCUCUGUACACUUUAUUUAAAAAUUACAGACGUUGAGGGAAAAAAAAUACCCUAUUAAGGGAAGAAUGAGUUUGUGUAUAACUUGUAGAAGAAGGAGGCCACCCAUUUUUAGAAAAAUAUGGAUGGUAUUGAAAAUUUUGCCAUGGCAAGGGAUAAAAAGGACAGGCUUCUCUAAUGUGUCUGAAACAACAUUUGAAUCCCCUUUGUUCAUUCCCUAAAUCUGCUGCUCCUUUAGAAUUCCUGAUUUUCAUAAAUAGUACCACCAUUCACUUAUUUGCUCAGGCAUAAAACUUGGAAUUUUCUGAUUCUUCACACUCAUACAACUCAUCAGACAGUACCAUCAGUUCUUCCUGACAAAUACAUUCUGAAUUUAGCUACUUAUCACUUCCACUGGUACAACCCUUGGGAGCCACCAUCAUCUGUUGCUGGACCACAGCAAUAACCACACUAGUUGCUAUCACUUUCUAUCUGUACCCUCAUGAAUAUUUUCCCAUUUAAACCAUUCUCUAUAUACCAACCAAAGCAAUCACUUAAAAAAUGUUAUUAGGUUAUGUCACUCCCUUGUUUAAAACCCUCCAAUAGCUUCCUUAUGCACACAGAAUGAAAUCGGAAUUCCUUACCAUAGCCUUCAAGACUGCAUAAUCUGGCUCCUGCCCACUUCUCCAUCUUCCCAGGAAGCAGCACAGGAAGUUGUUCUCACCCUUCUUACUGCCUCCUUUCUGUCGUGGGCUGUGCUUUUUCUAGUCUGUAGCAGAGUCUGUUAGUUGUCCCCAAAAAUUCCUCCAUUUUUUUCAUAGUAAUAGACAUGGAUACAUGGCUACCCAGAACAAAGACUAUAUUUUGCAGCCUUCCUUGUAGCCAUGUAAUAGUGCUGGCUGAUGGGAUGUAAGCAGUAUAUCAUGUGGCACACUUGUAAAACCAUCCUUAAAAGAUAGUUGGUGCACACCUUCAAUGCGGCUUUUCCUUUAUCCUGUACCGUGGAAUAUAGAUGUGAUGGCUUAGAACUGUAGCUGCCAAUUUGUGCCUCAUGCAAGUUCUCUCAUUCUAGGGAUGGCAAAACUAAACUGGUGGAAACCAGGGUCUGUGAGAACUUUAUGGAUCAGAGCACCAUGCUAGCCCUGCAGUCGUAAAUGUCUAUAUUAUUAAAGCCACUAUUUUGGAGUCUCUUGUUCUCAACUGAAUUUAAUCUUACCUGAUACUCUGUCUCAGGGCCUUUGCACUUGCUUUUUAUUUUUUAUUUAUUUAUUUUUUUUCUGCCUGGGAUGUGGUCUUCUGUCUUGGAUAUGGCUGACUCAUUCUCUUCCUUCAGGUUAACCCAAAUAUCUCUGACAGGCCUUCCCUGGCCACCGUAUCUAAAAUAGCUCACGUUCCCAUUUAUUCUCUGUCAAUCACGUGCCCCUCUAUUUUCUUAAUAGCAUUUAUAAUUUAUCAUUAUCUUGUUUAUUCACUGUUUAUUUUCUACCUCCCUUCACCCUACAAAAAUAUAAACUACACCUGUUUUUUUCCACUACUUUAUCCUUCACACAUGGUAGGCAUUAGAUAAAUGCUGUUAAAUUAGUGAGUGAAUGAAUCAACAAAAUUCUUAUCCAAGAUUAGCUAGACUUUUUAAAUAAUAAAUGAGUAAAUGUCAACAGAUAUCCUUAACACAAAAUUUGUAAAAUCCAAUCUAGGAAACAGGAAAAACAGUACUAAACUAAUAGGAUAUUCCUGACCUCCAACUUAAUAAAGAAGAUGUCUACCUUUUUCUGGGAAAUCUGUAAGGCUAGUACAAGUUAAAAAAAAAAAGACUGCACUGCAGUAUAUCCAGGGCUAAAAUUCACACUAAAAGGGGUCUGAAUUAUAAUUUACUAGACCUCAGUUUCUUCAUCUUAAAUAUGUGUAAGCUUUGAAUGGUAAUACUAUAACAGUUAAAAGUUUAAUAGUAAGCCCAACUUAUGAGUGACAAAACAUGUUAAACAUUAAUUUAGUCUUCAGGCACUAUUUUAACAAGUGGUUAUUUCUUGAUAAUACUGGCAAGGAUUCAGAGAAACAGGGCUGCUUAUAUUGCUGAGAGUGUAUGUUGGCAGCACUUUUCUAGAGUGCAGUUUGGCAAUAUGUAUCAAAAGCCUUGAGCCAUGUGCAUUUGACCCAGCGAUUCUUUUAGAAAUGUGUCAUAAGCAGGCUGGGUGCAGUGGCUCAUGCCUGUAAUCCCAGCACUUUGGGAGGCCAAGGCGGGUGGAUCACCUGAGGCCAGGAGUUUGAGACCAGCCUGGCCAACAUGGUGAAACCCCGUCUCUACUAAAUACAAACAAAUUAGCUAGGUGUGGUGGUGCACGCCUGUAGUCCCAGCUACUUGGAGGCUGAGGCAGGAGAAUCGCUUGAACCCGGAAGGCGGAGGUUGCGGUGAGCUGAGAUCAUGCCACUGCACUCCAGCUUGGGUGACAGAGCAAGACUCUGUCCAAAAGAAAAGGCCAGGCACGGUGGCUCAGAGAGCCACCUGUAAUGCCAGCACUUUGGGAGUCUGAGGUGGGGUUGGAUCACCUGAGGGCACAAGUUGAAGACCAGCCUGGCCAACAUGGUGAGACCCCAUCUCUACUAAAAAUACAAAAAUUAGCUGGGCAUGCUGGCGGGUGCCUGUAGUUUCAGCUAUUGGGAAGGCUGAGAUGGGAGAAUCACUUGAGCCCAGGAGGCAGAGGUUGUAGUGAGCCGAGAUUGUGCCACUGCAUUCCAGCCUAGGUGACAGAGCGAGACUCCGUCUCAAAAAAAAAAAAAAAAAAGAGAAAUGUAUUAUAAGCAAAUAAGGGUGUGUUUAACAAGUUAAUUGCAAGAGUAUUCUUUACUGCAUCAUUUAUUAGGAGAUUGGUUAAGCAACAUCCAUACAGUGAACAGUAUUCAGCCAUUUGAAAUGAUGUGGAGGAAAUUUUAUUGACAUGAUACAUUGUUAAGAGCAAAAGAAAAAGUUUUAAAAUACAAAUGUUUAAUUUGUAAGUCUCACAAACAUCAUCUAACGAAAUAUACACGAGGUGUUAAGUCAGCCUUGCAAACGUAACUAUUUUUUCAUUAUUUUUAUAUCAGUUACUGUUAUUGGAGCAUUUUAUAUUGACUGAGGAUCUUUAUUAAAACUUCUUCAGCCUUCUGUGAAAUCUUGUUAUGAUGGCUAUAGUGACACUAUAUAAAACACAUAACCAGAAUAUGUUUAUGCUCAAAUAUUUCAAGCAAUAUUUGAUGCUUAAAAUACCAAAGUGACAAUGAAAAUGAAAGAAAUUUGGAUAGUUCCUUAGAGUUAUUUGUUUGUGUUUCAGAUAUGAACAUAAAGUAUGUUUUUAAUAUUACCAGUUUUGAGAAUAAUAGAAUAAAUGCCUUCUCACCUUAAUAAGAUGUUCUGUUCUGACUCAGUAUUCAUUUGCCAUUUAUUUUUCAAAUGUAGCUGAAAUCUCAGUCAUGUUCCAGGCACUAUGUUUUGUCUCUGAGAGAGGAAAAACCAAACUUUUUCCCUGUUCUCAAAUACUACUCAAUACAAUACUUCUGCAACAAGAUGGGGUGGGAUAGCGGUCCCCCCUCACCCCCGCCCACAUCAAACCAUCAAUUUUCUAGCAGACAUCAGCUGGGUGUCUCAAUUCUAUUCAGUUCUGACACUAUCUACCUGGAGGCAGCAUCAGAUCGAACAGAUUGAGGGCUCGGUUCUGCAAGACUGCCCCCACCACUUCCAGUACCAGCCACAAGUAGUAGGUUGUCACCGAUACUCCUGACCAAGCUGUAAAUCAGGAUUCCCAUGAUCCCUUCCUCAGGUUCAAUUAGUUCACUAGAGUGGCUCACAGAAGUCGGAGAAACACUUUACUAGCAUUUACCCAUUUAUUAUAAAGGAUAUUACAAAGCAUACAGGUGAACAGCUGGAUGGAAGAGGAAUCUGCACACCUUUUCUCCCAUACCUUGCCCUAUGUAUAGGUAGGGAGAAGAGGUGUGGCAAUUCCAUGCCUUCUCCAGGCAGGCCAGCUUCCAGGAACCUCCUAGUGUUCAGCUAUCAGGAAGCUCUCUGAACCCUGCCUGUCCUUUUGGGCUUUUAUGGAUACUUCAUUAUGUAGGCAUGAUUGAUUACAUUAUUGGUCACUGGUGAGCAAAUAACCUUUAACCCCCUCUCCCCUCCCUGGAGGUGAGGAGCCAGGUUAAAGUUCCAACUCCCUAAUCACAUGGUUGGCUUCCCUGGCAACCAGCUCCCAUCCUGAGGCUACCCAGGAGCCCAUCAAGAGUUACCUCAUUAGAACAAAAGAUUCUCCUAUCGUCCAGGAAAUUCCAAGGGGCUUAGGAGCUCUGUCAGGAACCAAGGGUCAAAGACUGAAUAGAAUAAGAUUCUCCUAGUGCCCUUUAUCUAGAAGUUUUAGGACCUCUGGGCUAGGAAACAGAGACGAAAACUAAAACGUGCAUACAGAAGAUAGAUCUAUAUAUAUAAUAUUAUAAAUCACAUCACCUUGUCAUUUAGUUCUCAAGAAAACUAUGUGAUGUCAGAAUAAUAGUAUAAUUUUUUCCAUUUUCUUGUAUGCUACAUGUAUGUAGCAGAUAUCAUUUAAAUUGGUGAACCACAUUUCCCCCCCUUUAAAUAUCCUUGUCCAUAUAUUGAAUCUCUCUAAUACUCAUCACCUUUGGAAUUGAUCAUGGCAGUAUUAAAGGCACUUCUAUUCUGAACUGAACAUUAAAGAUGCUAUUACCCCUCCAGUGCUUUUGUGGGUCACUAUCAUCUAUAAAAAAUAUCCUAAAAGGAGAAGCCAAAUAAAUGAGGUAAUCAGUGGAAAGAAUAUAAGAUCCUUGGAAUCUAAAAAAUGGCUGUAACCAAUCAGCAUAAUAAAACCUCUAACAAUAGAAAAAUAGUUAACCACUUAGUUUAGCAUCUGCUAAAUGGCAAGCACCAUAAUUACAUGAUUUCACUCAAUCUGUGUAACAUUUCUGUGUGAUAGGUGGUAUUUGCAUUUUACAGAUGAGGAAAUGGAGGCUUUAAGAGAGGUUGCUAGAUAUAUCUAGAAAACCCCAUUGUCUCAGCCCAAAAUCUCCUUAAGCUGAUAGGCAACUUGCGCAAAGUCUCAGGAUACAAGAUCAAUGUGCAAAAAUCACAAGCAUUCUUAUACACCAAUAACAGAGAGCCAAAUCAUGAGUGAACUCCCAUUCACAAUUGCUUCAAAGAGAAUAAAAUACCUAGGAAUCCAACUUACAAGGGAUGUGAAGGACCUCUUCAAGGAGAACUACAAACCACUGCUCAAUGAAAUAAAAGAGGAUACAAACAAAUGGAAGAACAUUCCAUGCUCAUACGUAGGAAGAAUCAAUAUCGUGAAAAUGGCCAUACUGCCCAAGGUAACUUAUAGAUUCAGUGCCAUCCCCAUCAAGCUACCAAUGACUUUCUUCACAGAAUUGGAAAAAACUACUUUAAAGUUCAUAUGGAACCAAAAAAAGAGCCCACAUCGCCAAGUCAAUCCUAAGCCAAAAGAACAAAGCUGGAGGCAUCAAGCUACCUGACUUCAAACUAUGCUACAAGGCUACAGUAACCAAAACAGCAUGGUACUGGUACCAAAACAGAGAUGUAGACCAAUGGAACAGAACAGAGCCCUCAGAAAUAAUGCUGCAUAUCUACAACCAUCUGAUCUUUGACAAACCUGACAAAAACAAGCAAUGGGGAAAGGAUUCCCUAUUUAAUAAAUGGUGCUGGGAAAACUGGCUAGCCAUAUGUUGAAAGCUGAAACUGGAUCACUUCCUUACACCUUAUACAAAAAUUAAUUCAAGAUAGAUUAAAGACUUAAACGUUAGACCUAAAACCAUAAAAACCCUAGAAGAAAACCGAGGCAAUACUAUUCAGGACAUAGGCAUGGGCAAGGACUUCAUGUCUAAAACACCAAAAGCAAUGGCAACAAAAGCCAAAAUUGACAAAUGGGAUCUAAUUAAAGAGCUUCUGCACAGCAAAAGAAACUACCAUCAGAGUGAAAAGGCAACCGACAGAAUAGGAGAAAAUCUACUGCAAUCUACUCAUCUGACAAAGGGCUACAAUGAACUACAAUGUAGAUCCAGAAUCUACAAUGAACUCAAACAAAUUUACAAGAAAAAAACAACCCCAUCAAAAAGUGGGCAAAGGAUAUGAACAGACACUUCUCAAAAGAAGACAUUUAUGCAGCCAAAAGACACGUGAAAAAAUGCUUAUCAUCACUGGCCAUCAGAGAA